Molecule: ribosomal RNA, 199 nt
Filed under: uncultured bacterium
Lineage: Bacteria
Description: partial 16S ribosomal RNA
Rfam family: Bacterial small subunit ribosomal RNA
Source: RNAcentral
ACGCUCGACACCUACGGGAGGCAGCAGGUGGGGAAUAUUGCACAAUGGGGGAAACCCUGAUGCAGCGACGCCGCGUGAGCGAAGAAGUAUUUCGGUAUGUAAAGCUCUAUCAGCAGGGAAGAAACUGACGGUACCUGACUAAGAAGCACCGGCUAAAUACGUGCUAGCAGCCGCGGUAAUCUGAGCGGGCUGGCAAGGC